Molecule: ribosomal RNA, 120 nt
Filed under: Micrococcus luteus
Lineage: Bacteria; Bacillati; Actinomycetota; Actinomycetes; Micrococcales; Micrococcaceae
Source: RNAcentral
GUUACGGCGGCUAUAGCGUGGGGGAAACGCCCGGCCGUAUAUCGAACCCGGAAGCUAAGCCCCAUAGCGCCGAUGGUUACUGUAACCGGGAGGUUGUGGGAGAGUAGGUCGCCGCCGUGA